This 2851-nucleotide ribosomal RNA is filed under the name Gammaproteobacteria bacterium REDSEA-S03_B5. RNAcentral describes it as "bacterial LSU rRNA". It matches the Rfam family "Bacterial large subunit ribosomal RNA". The record is from RNAcentral. Lineage: Bacteria; Pseudomonadati; Pseudomonadota; Gammaproteobacteria.
CCAAGCGAAUAAGCGCAUUCGGUGAAUGCCUAGGCGGUAGAAGGCGAUGAAGGACGUGACAAUCUGCGAUAAGCCUCGGGGAGCUGAUAAUAAGCUUUGAUCCGGGGAUUUCCGAAUGGGAAAACCCAGCUGUUUUAACAGUUAUCAAAUACUGAAUACAUAGGUAUUUGAGGCAAACCCAGGGAACUGAAACAUCUAAGUACCUGGAGGAAAAGAAAUCAACCGAGAUUCCCUAAGUAGCGGCGAGCGAAAGGGGACCAGCCCAGACACCAUAAUCUUAUCUGACUUAACAAAAUGAUCUGGAAAGUUCAGCCAUAGUAGGUGAUAGCCCUGUAUGUGAAAAGUUAGAUGAGUGAGUGUCGAAGAGUAGGACGAGGCACGUGAAACCUUGUCUGAACAUAGGGGGACCAUCCUCUAAGGCUAAAUACUAACUACCGACCGAUAGUGAACCAGUACCGUGAGGGAAAGGCGAAAAGAACCCCGGCGAGGGGAGUGAAAUAGAACCUGAAACCGUGUGCGUACAAGCAGUAGGAGCCCAAUUUAUUGGGUGACUGCGUACCUUUUGUAUAAUGGGUCAGUGAGUUACUUUUAGUGGCAAGCUUAACUUUCUUAGGGAGGCGAAGGGAAACCGAGUCUUAAUAGGGCGUUUAGUCGCUAGGAGUAGACCCGAAACCAGACGAUCUAUCCAUGGCCAGGGUGAAGGUGGGGUAAUACCUACUGGAGGCCCGAACCCACUUAUGUUGAAAAAUGAGGGGAUGAGCUGUGGAUAGGAGUGAAAGGCUAAUCAAGUCUGGAGAUAGCUGGUUCUCCCCGAAAACUAUUUAGGUAGUGCCUCAUGUAUUACUCUCGGGGGUAGAGCACUGUUUCGGCUAGGGGGACAUCCCGUCUUACCAAACCGAUGCAAACUCCGAAUACCGAGAAGUAGAGCAUGGGAGACACACAGCGGGUGCUAACGUCCGUUGUGGAAAGGGAAACAACCCAGAUCGCCAACUAAGGUCCCAAAAUUACAGCUAAGUGGGAAACGAAGUGAGAAGUCAAAGACAGCCAGGAGGUUGGCUUAGAAGCAGCCAUCCUUUAAAGAAAGCGUAACAGCUCACUGGUCAAGUCGACUUGCGCGGAAGAUUUACCGGGGCUUAAGCUGUAUACCGAAGUUGCGAAUGCAUAUUUAUAUGCGUGGUAGGGGAGCGUUCUGUAAGUCUGUGAAGGUGUAUCGCGAGAUAUGCUGGAGAUAUCAGAAGUGAGAAUGCUGACAUGAGUAACGAUAAUGCGGGUGAAAAACCCGCACGCCGAAAACCCAAGGGUUCCUGCGCAAUGCUAAUCAGCGCAGGGUUAGUCGGUUCCUAAGGCGAGACUGAAAAGUGUAGUCGAUGGACAACAGGUUAAUAUUCCUGUACCGCAAUUACUGCGAUGGGGGGACGGAGAAGGCUAAGCAUACCGGGUGUUGGUUAUCCCGGGGAAAGUAUGUAGGUAGGAAAUCUUAGAAAAUCUGGAUUUCUAUUACCAAGGUACGAGACCAUUGAUUUUUUAAUCAAGAAGUUGCUGACGCCAUGCUUCCAAGAAAAUCCUCUAAGCUUCAGGUAAAUUGUGACCGUACCCUAAACCGACACAGGUGGGUGGGAUGAGAAUUCUAAGGCGCUUGAGAAAACUCUGGUGAAGGAACUAGGCAAAUUGGUACCGUAACUUCGGGAGAAGGUACGCCUUUGUUGGUGAAAGAACUUGCUUCUAGAGCUGACGAAGGUCUCAGAAACCAGGUGGCUGCGACUGUUUAAUAAAAACACAGCACUCUGCUAACUCGUAAGAGGAUGUAUAGGGUGUGACGCCUGCCCGGUGCCGGAAGGUUAAUUGAUGGGGUUAGCUUUAUGCGAAGCUCUUGAUCGAAGCCCCGGUGAACGGCGGCCGUAACUAUAACGGUCCUAAGGUAGCGAAAUUCCUUGUCGGGUAAGUUCCGACCUGCACGAAUGGCGUAACGAGCUGUGAAGAUGCAGUUUAAACGCCGCAAGACGGAAAGACCCCGUGCACCUUUACUACAGCUUUGCAUUGGACUUUGAUUCUGUUUGUGCAGGAUAGGUGGGAGGCUUUGAAGCAUAUGCGCCAGCGUAUGUGGAGCCAACCUUGAAAUACCACCCUGACAUAAUUGAAGUUCUAACCUAGGUCCAUUAUCUGGAUCAGGGACAUUGUAUGGUGGGUAGUUUGACUGGGGCGGUCUCCUCCUAAAGAGUAACGGAGGAGCACAAAGGUUCCCUCAACUCGGUCGGCCAUCGAGUUUAGAGUGCAAAGGCAUAAGGGAGCUUGACUGCGAGACAGACAUGUCGAGCAGGAGCGAAAGCUGGUCUUAGUGAUCCGGUGGUUCUGUAUGGAAGGGCCAUCGCUCAACGGAUAAAAGGUACGCCGGGGAUAACAGGCUGAUUCCCCCCAAGAGUUCACAUCGACGGGGGAGUUUGGCACCUCGAUGUCGGCUCAUCACAUCCUGGGGCUGUAGCAGGUCCCAAGGGUAUGGCUGUUCGCCAUUUAAAGUGGUACGCGAGCUGGGUUUAGAACGUCGUGAGACAGUUCGGUCCCUAUCUGCGGUGUUCGUUGGAAACUUGAGGGAAGCUGCUCCUAGUACGAGAGGACCGGAGUGGACGUACCCCUGGUGUUCCGGUUGUCACGCCAGUGGCACUGCCGGGUAGCUAUGUACGGAAGGGAUAACCGCUGAAAGCAUCUAAGCGGGAAGCCCCACCCAAGAUUAGGUUUCCCUGGAUCCAUGAGAUCCCUGAAGGGUCAUCGGAGACUACGAUGUUGAUAGGUCAGGUGUGGAAGCUCAGUAAUGAGUGAAGCUAACUGAUACUAAUUACCCGUGAGGCUUGGUCUU